Molecule: long non-coding RNA, 690 nt
Organism: Cotesia glomerata
Lineage: Eukaryota; Metazoa; Arthropoda; Insecta; Hymenoptera; Braconidae
Exons: 5
Source: RefSeq, a predicted model, not a curated record
GAUGUUUGUCCGAGUACAGAAAGAUAAUUAACAAAAUACUCCAAUUUAUUUAUACAUUAAAAUUAUUUUUGUAACAUUUUACUGAGAGUUUUGUAGUUUUAUACAAACAUUCAUCGUUUCUCCUGAGAAAACAAUGGAGUACCUUCCAGUAAAUUAUUUCUUGAUAAAACUCUUCAGUGAUUUAAUCCAAAGUGGAUGUAUUUAUAUUCCAAAAUACAAAACAAACAGUGGAUUUUGUGGAGCAACUAUGGCAUAUAUCUUUUGUUGUUUUGGGACUACGUGCUUCGUCAAUUUUUCAAUUAAAAUCGCUUGGUUGAUGUUAAUUUUUUUUAAAACAUUGUUUACAAAAUUACUCAAAACUUUGAGGAAAUCAUGAAUUUCGAAACUGAUAUGCUGAACACAAACCAAGUAGACUUGUUGUCUACCAUUGAUUGUAGCUUAUUUAUAUAUGACAUGAUGAAGAGGACACAUAUAUUUUGGCACCAAUUUAAACACAAAAAUAAAAUUUUUAUAUUUUUCGUAAAUAUUGAUUUGAAUGAAUAUUGUGUGAAAUAUAUUAAUAUAAUGCCAGCAAAAUCAGUGGUAUCUGUUGAUUUGGCAGUUACUGCGUUAAUAAAGUAUAUAACAUACUUUGAUACCAAUAAAUUGCCAGAACAUAGCUCGAGAGUAUGGCAAGAUAUAUCUGAUGAA